Vicia faba (fava bean) is the source of this 411-nucleotide non-coding RNA. Lineage: Eukaryota; Viridiplantae; Streptophyta; Magnoliopsida; Fabales; Fabaceae. The record is from the annotation of a GenBank genome assembly.
UCCAAUAAAAAAUGGUGCCUUUUUGACUUUGUAGGGUUUGUAUGUCAUAGCUCUUUAACUUUUCCCAAACAUAACUCCCUUUGCAAAACACGACAGAAAUCCCCUUCUCUCUUUCUCCUAGUAGAACACCGCCUCCAUGGUUGUAUCUCUGGAGAUUUCCUCCGCAUUUCGUCAUUCUUUGUCUUUGUCGUUCAAACUCUCCAUCUCUCUCUGACGCAGUCUCACUUCAAUCGCCAUUUUCCACCAUGUUCGCGUCGCACCUUCGCGCUCUCCACAUCUCACCUCCAUUCAGAUCCUCCGUCUGUCGUCUUCGAUUGCUUAGAUUUCGUCUCAUUUCCAACAGCAUUAAACGCUCACCAACUUCUCCUCAAUCAUUCGCAGAUUCAAACAAAUAGUAACAAACUUGUAUGA